RNAcentral lists this ribosomal RNA (492 nucleotides) under uncultured bacterium. Its description in RNAcentral is "partial 16S ribosomal RNA". It matches the Rfam family "Bacterial small subunit ribosomal RNA", at positions 29 to 507 of the family's 1533-position model. The record is from RNAcentral.
AGUGAACGCUGGCGGUAGGCCUAACACAUGCAAGUCGAACGGCAGCACAGUAAGAGCUUGCUCUUACGGGUGGCGAGUGGCGGACGGGUGAGGAAUACAUCGGAAUCUACUUUUUCGUGGGGGAUAACGUAGGGAAACUUACGCUAAUACCGCAUACGACCUACGGGUGAAAGCAGGGGAUCUUCGGACCUUGCGCGAUUGAAUGAGCCGAUGUCGGAUUAGCUAGUUGGCGGGGUAAAGGCCCACCAAGGCGACGAUCCGUAGCUGGUCUGAGAGGAUGAUCAGCCACACUGGAACUGAGACACGGUCCAGACUCCUACGGGAGGCAGCAGUGGGGAAUAUUGGACAAUGGGCGCAAGCCUGAUCCAGCCAUACCGCGUGGGUGAAGAAGGCCUUCGGGUUGUAAAGCCCUUUUGUUGGGAAAGGAAAGCAGCAUGUUAAUACCCCGCUGUUCUGACGGUACCCAAAGAAUAAGCACCGGCUAACUUCGUG